CCGUCACCGGCGGCUCAUGACAGGCGGGGAGGGGGAAGGAAGAAGUGGAAGCCGCGGAUCCAUCUUCAAGAGAAAAUAGGAAAGAGACCGCGUUUCCAACAGUUUUACUUCGUUUUUUUAGCGGCAUCUUUCCUUGUAAAUACGUGUCAGGGAGCCCGAGGUGGGGGCUGUGUCAUUGUCUGUAGGAUGUCCCGACAUGAAGGUGUGAGCUGUGACGCGUGUUUAAAAGGGAACUUCAGGGGGCGCCGAUACAAGUGUUUAAUUUGCUACGACUACGACCUGUGCGCGUCGUGUUACGAAAGUGGAGCCACCACAACCCGACACACCACGGAACACCCCAUGCAGUGCAUACUAACCAGGGUAGACUUCGAUCUGUAUUAUGGCGGAGAAGCGUUUUCAGUAGAGCAGCCCCAGUCGUUCACUUGUCCAUACUGCGGCAAAAUGGGUUACACAGAAACGUCUCUACAGGAACACGUCACCUCGGAGCAUGCAGAGACUACCACAGAGGUGAUCUGCCCCAUAUGUGCAGCUUUGCCUGGAGGCGACCCCAAUCAUGUGACGGACGACUUCGCUGCUCAUCUCACACUUGAACACAGAGCACCAAGAGAUUUAGAUGAGAGCAGCGGGGUGCGGCACGUGCGCCGGAUGUUUCACCCUGGGCGUGGGCUGGGAGGCCCUCGGGCACGGAGGACUAACAUGCACUUUACCAGCAGCUCCACCGGGGGGCUCUCAUCCUCACAAAGCUCCUCUUACUCCCCGAGCAAUCGGGAAGCUAUGGACCCUAUAGCAGAGCUGCUGUCUCAGCUGUCAGGCGUUCGGCGCUCUGCAGGCGGCCAGCUGAACCCUUCGGGCCCGUCGGCCUCGCAACUACAGCAGUUGCAGAUGCAGUUGCAGCUGGAGCGGCAGCAGGCGCAGGCGGCACGUCAGCAACUGGAAACGGCACGCAACGCCACGCGCCAGCGCAGCAACGCGAGCAACAUCAGCGCCAGCGUGCCGCCGCCCAGCACCGCGACAAACACAGCCAUAACCGAGAGCAACCCGAUGGCCUCCCACAGCUCCCAGUUCCUCCUCACACGGUUGAACGAGCCGAAGAUGUCUGAGGCAGAGCGUCAGGCUCUGGAGAGCGAGCGCGCCGACCGGAGCCUGUUUGUGCAGGAGCUGCUGCUGUCCACGCUGAUGCGCGAGGAGAGCUCUUCUUCCGACGAGGAUGAGCGGCGAGACUUCGCCGACUUCGGCGCCAUGGGCUGCGUGGAGAUCAUGCCUUUGGACGUGGCGCUGGAGAGCCUGAACCUGAAGGAGAGCUCUGCAGGCAAAGAGCCUCCACCUCCUCCUCUUUGAUGAUAUCCCACCACCACGCAGACAAUGUCCUCUGUGCUGUAACUGCCAAUGACGCACCUGCUGCUCCCUGAACGAAUCCUCUGAGCCGGAGUGCAGAUAGACGAUCACUUUUACUUUUAUAUAUAUAUAUAUAUAUAUAUAUAUAUAUAUAUAUAUAUAUAUAUAUAUAUAUAUAUAUAUAUAUAUAUAUAUAUAUAUAAAUAAAUAUAAAUGUCCCCGGCCGAUUAAAAUCACUGUACACAGGAGGAAUCUGCGCCUGCAUCAGCAUUCCUACUCACAAAGCUCAAAAAAUAAAUUCUUUCUUCAGUUGGUGAAAGAGUGCUGGAGACUUUGCCACAUAGUUUUUGUUCUACAUUAUUAAAAAAAAAAAAAAAAGGAAAGAAUGAAUCUCGUUUUUUUGUUUUUUUUUCCCCCGUUGUGCUAAAAAUGAAAUGGGGAAAAAAAAAGAAGGCACCUUCUAUUUAUUCAGGUUUUAUUUUGUUUUGGAUUCUUUUUUAUUUUUAUUUUUCUCUUUUUUUUUUUUCUCUUUUUAAGCCUUGUGAUUGAGUCAUGCCACCUCCAUGCCUAUACUUUUAGCCUCAAUGUAAAAUACAAUGAGAUGUAUAUUGAAUUUGUGCGUUAACUUUCAUAAUGGUUCUAGGACAUGGGCAGACUUUCUUUUUUUAAAUGUAAAUUUAGAAUACUACAAUAAAAAACGGCGCACAGCUUUUGAUGAAAAUAAAA
RNA transcript from Ictalurus punctatus (channel catfish), 2061 nucleotides. It is a transcript of the gene named potassium channel modulatory factor 1, with no coding region annotated. The transcript has 8 exons. The record is from RefSeq and is a predicted model, not a curated record. NCBI's taxonomy places the organism in Eukaryota, Metazoa, Chordata, Actinopteri, Siluriformes, Ictaluridae.